UGCCAAUAGAAUGGGAUAAUCUCCUUACAGUGAUCUGAGUAAACCUUUAAGAGUUUUCAAGGGUUCAGGUUCCUGAUGACUACUACAUAAACGAAGUGGUCAGCACACAAUUCCAGUAUUCUAACUUGGUCGCAGGCAUCAAAGCACCAUAGAGUACUAUCUUACUCCAUUUGGGUUGCUAUUCCAAAAAUACCGCACACAGGGUGGCUUAAAAGCUUAAACAACAAACAUUUUUUUCUCUCAGUUCUGCCAACUGAGAAGUCCAAUAUCAAGCCUUGAAAGUGCUUGACACUCUCUCAUUUCCUUUUUAUCUCUUUUUAGAUGUAAGCAUUUCUAAGCAUGUUCCUGACUACCCUAUCCAAAGCAGCACUCUCCAUUCUGUGUGCCCUUCUUUCACUUUGUAGCACUACUUUACAAGAUGUUACACAAAAUUACUUUACAUUAUACUUAUUGUCUAUUUUACAAGUAUGCAAUCUCCCUGAGGGCAAGGACUUUACUUUGUGUACUAUUGUUUCACCAGAGUCAAGAAAAGAGCCUGACAUGAACCAACUGCUCAAUAACUAUUUGUUGCAUGGGUUAAUAAAUGAAAAGGACCUGGAUUAUUUUACUGUCCCACAUGACAUUCAAGGAUGGCUAUCAUUAAAGAAACAGAAUGCAAGUGUUGGUGAGGAGGUGAAGAACGUGGAACCCUUGUGCACUGUUGGUGGGAAUGUAAAAUGGCACAACCAUUAUAGAAAACAGUUUCACGUUUCCUCAAAAAUUAGAAAAUGAAAUUACUGUAUAAUCCAGUAAUUCCCUA
RNAcentral lists this long non-coding RNA (799 nucleotides) under Equus caballus (horse). RNAcentral describes it as "lncRNA (ENSECAG00000057344.1)". Lineage: Eukaryota; Metazoa; Chordata; Mammalia; Perissodactyla; Equidae. The record is from RNAcentral.